GAUGAACGCUGGCGGCGUGCUUAACACAUGCAAGUCGAACGAACCUUCGGGUUAGUGGCGGACGGGUGAGUAACGCGUGAGAAUCUGCCCUCAGGAGGGGGAUAACGGUUGGAAACGACCGCUAAUACCCCAUAUGCCUAUUGGUGAAAUGAAUUUCGCCUGAGGAUGAGCUCGCGUCUGAUUAGCUAGUUGGUGAGGUAACGGCUCACCAAGGCUUCGAUCAGUAGCUGGUCUGAGAGGAUGAUCAGCCACACUGGGACUGAGACGCGGCCCAGACUCCUACGGGAGGCAGCAGUGGGGAAUUUUCCGCAAUGGGCGAAAGCCUGACGGAGCAACGCCGCGUGAGGGACGAAGGCCUCUGGGCUGUAAACCUCUUUUCUCAAGGAAGAAGAUAUGACGGUACUUGAGGAAUAAGCCACGGCUAAUUCCGUGCCAGCAGCCGCGGUAAUACGGGAGUGGCAAGCGUUAUCCGGAAUUAUUGGGCGUAAAGCGUCCGCAGGCGGCUUUUCAAGUCUGCUGUUAAAGCGUGGAGCUUAACUCCAUCAUGGCAGUGGAAACUGAAAGGCUUGAGUAUGGUAGGGGCAGAGGGAAUUCCCGGUGUAGCGGUGAAAUGCGUAGAUAUCGGGAAGAACACCAGUGGCGAAGGCGCUCUGCUGGGCCAUUACUGACGCUCAUGGACGAAAGCCAGGGGAGCGAAAGGGAUUAGAUACCCCUGUAGUCCUGGCCGUAAACGAUGAACACUAGGUGUCGGGGGAAUCGACCCCUUCGGUGUCGUAGCUAACGCGUCAAGUGUUCCGCCUGGGGAGUACGCACGCAGUGUGAAACUCAAAGGAAUUGACGGGGCCCGCACAGCGGUGGAGUA
Molecule: ribosomal RNA, 862 nt
Filed under: uncultured bacterium
Lineage: Bacteria
Description: bacterial SSU rRNA
Rfam family: Bacterial small subunit ribosomal RNA
Source: RNAcentral